GCCCGGGUGGUGAAAUUGGUAGACACAACGGACUUAAAAUCCGUCGGGGAGAAAUCCCCGUACCGGUUCAAGUCCGGUCCCGGGCACCA
Molecule: transfer RNA, 89 nt
Filed under: Gallionella sp.
Lineage: Bacteria; Pseudomonadati; Pseudomonadota; Betaproteobacteria; Nitrosomonadales; Gallionellaceae
Description: tRNA-Leu
Rfam family: tRNA
About the family: Transfer RNA (tRNA) molecules are approximately 80 nucleotides in length. Their secondary structure includes four short double-helical elements and three loops (D, anti-codon, and T loops).
Source: RNAcentral